ACUGUCCUGCUGGUCUUGGCAGGCCCUGUGGUCUGAUCCCGGAGCUCGACCUCCAGCAGUCUGCUCUGGAGGGGUGCAGGACUCCAGCGGACCCGGAAGAGGUCCGAAAGAAGGGGAUAUCAUGUGAGCAGGGGUGUGGAAGAGGUGCUUCCACAGGAGACCUGGGUGCUCCUGGGGUGGGGCAGUGGUUUCUGGGCACCUCCCCUCCUCACCGUCUUAGCUCCCUGCUCCAGCCCCCAGAGGUGUUGAGUCAGCUGCCCGCCCCAUCCUCUAGCAGCUCUGUGGCCUGCCAUGUUGACUUUGCUGACUGGGAAUGCCUCCAUCUGUUGGCCUCCCCCACCCACAGUGGCCUCUGACCUUUGUAGAGAGCCCUUCCACCCCUCCAGGGUUUUAAUGUGCAUCUUGUGGAUGGAAAGGGUGGGUCCAGGAGGAGCAGUGCCUGGUGAAGGUGGAGGCUGGCUUGGACCUCCCACCUGCUGCCCUCCACAGGGCCACUAAAGCUAGCCAGGUCUCGGUGGAGGCCUGCUACCUGCCCCCUUCCCUGCCACACUGUACCAGCUGCCCUCACAGCAGGACCUGGCUAGCAAACACUUAAUGAAGUAGGCAGUAGUCCAGCCAUCGAUGGAGGUGCCCACAGGCUGGACGCUGGCUGGGAACCAGGACACCUAUGCAUGAGGCCAGGAAUUGGGGGGUAGGGUGGUUGCCAGCAGAACAGAUUGAUGGAGGCUCUGCCCCUGGGCAGCCUGGCCCAUUGUGGACUGACCCGGGUACAAGUUGUGCCCUGAGCUUGCUGCUGGUGGAUUGUCAGUGGCCAGAGAGGAUCAGGGUGGAACAAUAGCUCUGACCCCUUGGGAGGAGGAAGUGAGGAGGAGCCAGAGGCCUAGUAACUCUGAGUAACCUACCUACCAGGAGGAACUGGUGGGAGAAACGAAAGUGGCUGGGAGGGGGAGAAGGGGUGAUGAGCCAAGGGACAGGAAUGAGGGUCAGAGAGGACAGUCCAUCUUGUGUCUUGGAGUACAGGAAGCUCUGGGGCCUUGGAGGAAGUUCUGAGGGAAGAGAUGGUGAGGGGUCCUGGUAGUAAGAACUCAAAGGUGUAGGGGACCUUGUCCUUCUGGGAGAAUCUGGAAGACGUCCUGGAAGGUGCAUUUCAGAGGGAAGAAGGAGAUCAGAGCAAUCUCAAGAUCUAAGGAGGCGGAGUCCACCGCCCAAAGUCAAGGACAAGGACCACUGAAGGGCAGAGACUUCUCACAGCUGGUGGCAGGUGGCGAGGCCUGUGGGCACUGGAGGCAGGGACCCUGUCUUAUUCAAUCAGCCACCUGCAGGCUCCCUCACGGGCCCCUCCAUGCCUCUGCCCUGGUACAACCCCUGGUGAUGGUGGCUGCGCCUGUCCCUGCCAGCAGGUGCUGGCCACAUGCCCCUGUGCAAUGGUGUCCCCAGGAAAUUGCCCCUUCCUGGCGCAUGGACUCUGCUUCUCCCUGGCAGUGGCACAGUACGGUGGGGAUCCUGCUGCAGUUCCUGGCGCACACGCACCUUCUCUCAACCCGCCCCCCGCAGCAAAGCACCUUGGAGAAGUCCGUGCCCAAGUGUCCACCACACCUAGGACCCGCCAAGGCCUCCGCACAUGGCCUUCCCGCCCGCCACCCCAUUUCCUGGGCCUCCCUCCCACUCAGGGUCUCUCUGGCACCUCAACCGCACCUGACAGUGACCCCCGAUGGCCAGGGCCGCAGCCCACGGUGACCCCAUAUUCACACACACUUCCCCAGCUGGGACUCUCACCCCCAGAGUGCCUCAGACACCCUGGACUGCAGUCUUUCUCGUCACACGAGAGAGAACACCCACAUAGACACCCUCAGGCCUGCUGGUGACCAUGCAUGGCGGUCAGCGUGGGGACGUGGCCCCCCGCCCGCCAUGUUUCUGCUUCACCUGGUGUCCCUGCUGCCCCUCGUCUACCUGGCAAGAGCCUCUACCUGCUUCAGCGACUCCACCCUGAGGUCCUUCAGCCUCUCACCAGAGGGACCGUGUACAGUGCUGAGGACGAACAUCGUAUGGCUAACCAGACAGCGACACCAGGGACACCGGGGACACCGGGCCGACGGGCGCCUCCCCCCCACGCCAGCCUCGUC
This is a long non-coding RNA of Marmota monax (woodchuck), 2123 nucleotides long. RefSeq lists it as uncharacterized. The record is from RefSeq and is a predicted model, not a curated record. Lineage: Eukaryota; Metazoa; Chordata; Mammalia; Rodentia; Sciuridae. The transcript is spliced from 3 exons.